This 376-nucleotide ribosomal RNA is filed under the name uncultured bacterium. RNAcentral describes it as "bacterial SSU rRNA". It matches the Rfam family "Bacterial small subunit ribosomal RNA", at positions 524 to 898 of the family's 1533-position model. The record is from RNAcentral.
UACGGGCGGGGCGAGCGUUGUUCGGAUUUAUUGGGCGUAAAGAGCGCGUAGGCGGCCAUUUAAGUCUGGUGUGAAAUCUCCACCGCUCAACGGGGAGCACGCACUGGAAACUGGAUGGCUUGAGGCCGUGAGAGGUAAGCGGAAUUCCAGGUGUAGCGGUGAAAUGCGUAGAUAUCUGGAGGAACACCGGUGGCGAAGGCGGCUUACUGGCACGGUUCUGACGCUGAGGCGCGAAAGCGUGGGGAGCGAACAGGAUUAGAUACCCUGGUAGUCCACGCUGUAAACGGUGCACACUAGGUGUGGGAGGAUCGACCCCUUCCGUGCCGCAGCUAACGCAUUAAGUGUGCCGCCUGGGGAGUACGGCCGCAAGGUUGAA